AUGACAAGCACUUUGAAAAGAGGGUGAAAAGCACCUGAAACCGUCACGGGGGAAGCGGAUUGCGUGAGUGUUGGGUGCACGUGCUCAGCAUCUCUCUUUUUGGGGGGUGUGUAUUCACGUGCGCCUGCGCCGGCGUGGCUGCGUGCUGGUGGAUUUUGCACCGGCGCGUGGUGAGGGCUCCUGCUUGUCAGUGAGGACGCCGGCGAAAUGACGCAAUACGACCCGUCUUGAAACACGGACCAAGGAGUCUAGCGCGGCUGCGAGUCGAAGGGUGGCAAACCCAAGGGCGCAGUGAAAGCGAAUUUUGUGCAGAACGAAAACAGUUUGGGGCGGCAUAGCGACGUUGUCAACAUGUCCGACCCGGAGCAUGCGCGCUGGGACCCGAAAGAUGGUGAACUAUGCCGGAGUAGGGCAAAGCCAGAGGAAACUCUGGUGGAGGCUCGUAGCGAUGCUGACGUGCAAAUCGCUCGUCAAACUUGGGUAUAGGGGCGAAAGACUAAUCGAACCAUCUAGUAGCUGGUUCCCUCCGAAGUUUCUCUCAGGAUAGCGGGCCGACGAAGUGUUGUUUUGUGC
Molecule: ribosomal RNA, 573 nt
Filed under: Ahnfeltia plicata
Lineage: Eukaryota; Rhodophyta; Florideophyceae; Ahnfeltiales; Ahnfeltiaceae
Description: eukaryotic LSU rRNA
Rfam family: Eukaryotic large subunit ribosomal RNA
Source: RNAcentral